GCAUCCCUGCCAUUUUGAAAUGGCUGAAAGAGAAGAGCCGAGGUAGAGACGGAUCGAGGGAGGCUGGGAUCGCAAGAGAGCAAGAGGGUGAGCAAUCGGAAGAGAGCAUGGCCGGGCGAGGCUUCGCGCAUGAGAGAAAUCGAGAGAGUGAGGCGAGGCCGAUUUCUAAGGCAGAGAAGGCAGCGACCAUCGGCGUCCAUGGCUGGUUGUAGAGGCUUGAGAAGGCAGUGUCAAUGGUGGUCUAGCAAGGGUCGAUGGCGAGCGGGAAUGCGGAAGCAGCCUGCGGGGUCGCGACCAUCAGCGAUAGGAGGCCAUUGGGUCGGUGAGGACGGCUGGAUGAAGCUGGAGCGGCUGGUUGCAAUAGCCAUGGCAGUAGCGGGCGGCGCUGGAGCAGCCGCGAGGGGCUGGUGGUGACCAUGGCAGCGGUCGGCGAGGCCAGUGAAGGCUGUUGCGGCUGCUAGCUAGGCCGAAGGCGACUCGGGAUGGCCAAACAGCAAGCUCCUCGUGCAUGGCCAUGGCGGUUGUGUUGAAACGGCAGCACACAGGGGCAGCUCGCGGUGGAGCUGCGCAACCAAGCUACGGCGGGGCUGGCCGUGGCGACGGUUAGCGACGGCGAGGCCGGCAGGCGGAGAGGCCGCGGGGCCGUCGGGCGUUGCAGAAGAAGCAUGUGAAGAAGAAGAUGCAGCAAAGAAGAUGAAGGAACAGGGGCGCGGGGGAGGUGAAGAAGAAAGGAAAAGAAUAAAAGAAAAAGAAAAAAAAGAAAAUAAGGAAAAUCUAGAAAAUAAGGAAAAAAUAGGAGAAAAUCCUGGAAAUUUCUAGAAAAAGUGGGGAAAGUUCUGGAAAUUAAAUUGGGCCUUGAAGAGUGUGUCGGAAGCUCGAAAAUGGGAUUUUGGGCACAAAUGGCAGCUUGUGAGGCAACGCCGGUGUGGGCGUUUUUCGAAUUUCUCUCCAGAUGAGUCGAGGUUCGACCGGGAAGGCCGUGAUCCUAGCGAAACUUGAGAUUUAGGCUGGAAUUCAUGCCGAGGUAGAGAUGAGGCUUAUAGCCAGGUAAGGGAUGGCCCCAUGUGGAGAUGGUCUUGCAAGUUGGUAAAUGUGUUUGAUAAUGUUUUUAUGUUACUUUGGCAUGUAGUGGUUAUAUCUUGUGUGAUGCAAGAACUAGUGGACCUGUGGCCAUAUGGAGGACUAGUGGUGGGGGCUGAUAGGUUGAUGCCUCAAACCUUAGUGGGUUGUGAGGAUGUGUGAGCCUAGCCUCAUUUGCAUGCAUUUGGCAUACAUAAACAUGAUUAUAUUCAUAUUUACAUGCAUUGCACCCUUACUGAGUCUUUAUGACUCAUGAGGUUUUACCUCAUGUGUAGAUGUUGCAAGUCCAGAUACAAGAAGGGAUGGCGCCGGGAGGCCGUUGUGGCAACUAGCUGUGUUGCCCGAGUUAUGUAUUUUUUAAUAUUGCUUGUAUGUAGCCAGGGGGCGUGGUGUAUGUAUACAAUUGUGAGUAAAUGACUGUGUUAUUGAGCUUAAAUGUAUUUACUUGUUGUAA
Molecule: long non-coding RNA, 1534 nt
Organism: Diospyros lotus (date-plum)
Lineage: Eukaryota; Viridiplantae; Streptophyta; Magnoliopsida; Ericales; Ebenaceae
Exons: 2
Source: RefSeq, a predicted model, not a curated record